This 77-nucleotide transfer RNA is filed under the name Bifidobacterium catenulatum DSM 16992 = JCM 1194 = LMG 11043. Its description in RNAcentral is "tRNA-Val". It matches the Rfam family "tRNA". Rfam says of the family: Transfer RNA (tRNA) molecules are approximately 80 nucleotides in length. Their secondary structure includes four short double-helical elements and three loops (D, anti-codon, and T loops). RNAcentral also lists the same sequence under 1 other name. Lineage: Bacteria; Bacillati; Actinomycetota; Actinomycetes; Bifidobacteriales; Bifidobacteriaceae. The record is from RNAcentral.
GGGCGAUUAGCUCAGUUGGUUAGAGCGCCACCUUUACACGGUGGAUGUCAGGGGUUCGAGUCCCUUAUCGCCCACCU